UACGUAGGGACCAAGCGUUGUUCGGAUUUACUGGGCGUAAAGGGCGCGUAGGCGGCUUGACAAGUCACUUGUGAAAUCUCCGGGCUUAACUCGGAACGGCCAAGUGAAACUGUCAUGCUAGAGUGCAGAAGGGGCAAUCGGAAUUCUUGGUGUAGCGGUGAAAUGCGUAGAUAUCGUCAAGAACACCGAUAGCGAAGGCAGCUUACUGGGCUGUAACUGACGCUGAUGCACGAAAGUGUGGGGAUCAAACAGG
This 253-nucleotide ribosomal RNA is filed under the name uncultured bacterium. RNAcentral's name for it is "partial 16S ribosomal RNA". It matches the Rfam family "Bacterial small subunit ribosomal RNA", at positions 524 to 776 of the family's 1533-position model. The record is from RNAcentral.